RNAcentral lists this small RNA (432 nucleotides) under Shewanella loihica PV-4. Its description in RNAcentral is "cspA thermoregulator". It matches the Rfam family "cspA thermoregulator". Lineage: Bacteria; Pseudomonadati; Pseudomonadota; Gammaproteobacteria; Alteromonadales; Shewanellaceae. The record is from Rfam by way of RNAcentral.
CGGGCUCUGUUGUUCAGGGUUAUUAGUUUAAAGCAUCAAGUAAAAGUCAAAACCUUAGUCAAAUCUUCACCAUUUUUGUCCUCAGUUUUCCCUUAGCUUCAUCGUAAUACUCAAUAAUUCAACGGCUCGGCAUACCGCAAUGUCGCGGAUUUUUAUAUGAAUUAAAUAAGGGACAAAUAUGUCUAAUACAACUGGUACCGUUAAGUGGUUUAACGAAGAUAAAGGUUUUGGUUUCAUCGAGCAGGCAAAUGGCGGCGCUGAUGUGUUCGUGCAUUUCCGCGCUAUCGUAUCUGACGGAUACAAGACGCUAGCCGAAGGCCAAAAGGUCACCUUCGAUAUCGAGCAAGGUCAAAAAGGCUUGCAAGCAGCGAACGUAGUUCCGGCUUAAUCGAACGGUUCGAUAAAAAAGGCGACUUGAAGUCGCCUUUUUUG